Long non-coding RNA from Phacochoerus africanus (Common warthog), 1013 nucleotides. RefSeq lists it as uncharacterized. The record is from RefSeq and is a predicted model, not a curated record. NCBI's taxonomy places the organism in Eukaryota, Metazoa, Chordata, Mammalia, Artiodactyla, Suidae. The transcript is spliced from 2 exons.
AACCACCUCCAACCACCUCCGACCGCCUCAGCGCCAACCCCACGCCUGGUGCGAAUUGACCCUUCGCCGCCACCCGUACCUUCGCCUCGGUAGUUUUCGGCUCCGGCCGGCCCCGUUUCCGGCUACGAGUCGCGGCGAAGGCGGAACUACGAGUUCCGGCAGCACCCGCGCGACCCCGCUGCGGUUUUCCCGGGGGCCGACGGGAGUCGGAGUUCGGGGCCGGGAGCAACCGGAAGCGGCGCCGUCUCCCGGCAGGCAGCGCGAGAAGGCGGAGGUUUGGUCACCUCUCAGCGGCCCCACCUGUCACCGGGUGGGGGCCGGGGUAGGAGCGAGCCCUGGCGCGACUUCUCGCGGGGCCGCGGACUGCAGAUCUCUCAGCCCAAGGGGGUGUCCGCUCUGUCCUUCCGCACUGGACGCGGGAAAACGGACAGCAGAUCUAAGGAGAACUGCAUUGCUAUUGAAUGAGAUUCACAAGAAGCAAACACAUGUCUGAAAGUGCUUCAAGUGCCUUCUCGCUCAAGAUUUGCUCUCCCCAAUCUGCUCCCAAUAAAGUGCCAAGGCGAGCCGCUGACUCAAAUAGCGAACCUUGCUGCCCUUUGUCAUUGGAUCCCCAACUUCAAGACUUUUCGCCUGGAUGGAGGGCAAUGGGUGAUCACCCCGAUAGGUUAGUUCUUCACAUCUAAUUAAAUUAGUCGAGUUUCUUUGUGCCUGGUGCUUCUAGGGACAAAGAAACUGCUAAAACUGCAGCUUAGAAAAGUUGAUGUCGUUAACUUCCCUGUCCCUGAAUAGGAUGGUUAUGGAUGUUCAGGAAAGCAUCCACUCUAUUGGUUUUUGAAAGCCUUGACCUGCCAGGGUUGAGACACAGCUGCAAGCAGGAAAUAAGCUCUUCUUGUUAAUUACUGUUGUGCUAAGUUUGAGCACUUGAGGUCAGAAUCUUUUAUUCAUCUUUAUAUCCCCAUUGCCUGGUAUAAUGCCUGGCAGAGAAACCAUGCUUAAUAAAUUGUGAAUGGGAA